This 147-nucleotide unclassified non-coding RNA is filed under the name soil metagenome. RNAcentral describes it as "partial internal transcribed spacer 1". The record is from RNAcentral.
UAAUAAGUGUUUUAUGGCACUUUUUAAAUCCAUAUCCACCUUGUGUGCAAUGUCAGUCGAUCUUCUUCAUGGAGAUCGACCAAACAUCAACCUUUAUCUUUUAACUCUUUGUCUGAAAAAAUAUUAUGAAUAAACAAUUCAAAAAUA